UACGAAGGGGGCUAGCGUUGUUCGGAAUUACUGGGCGUAAAGCGUGCGCAGGCGGCCAUUUAAGUCAGGGGUGAAAGCCUGGGGCUCAACCCCAGAACUGCCCUUGAGACUGGAUGGCUGGAGUGCGGGAGAGGUGAGUGGAAUUCCCAGUGUAGAGGUGAAAUUCGUAGAUAUUGGGAAGAACACCCGUGGCGAAGGCGGCUCACUGGCCCGUAACUGACGCUCAGGCACGAUAGGGUGGGGAGCAAACAGG
RNAcentral lists this ribosomal RNA (253 nucleotides) under uncultured bacterium. RNAcentral describes it as "partial 16S ribosomal RNA". It matches the Rfam family "Bacterial small subunit ribosomal RNA", at positions 524 to 776 of the family's 1533-position model. The record is from RNAcentral.